AGAUGAUCUCGACCCAAUAACCGUGUUAGAAUGUACGAUAUUUUAAGAUGGUCUCAGCGACCGUCUUAAAAUAAUGUACAUUCUAAGAUGGUUUUUGUUAGAAUCGUCUU
Molecule: microRNA precursor, 110 nt
Filed under: Glycine max (soybean)
Lineage: Eukaryota; Viridiplantae; Streptophyta; Magnoliopsida; Fabales; Fabaceae
Description: miR4992 stem-loop (gma-MIR4992)
Source: miRBase by way of RNAcentral